Molecule: long non-coding RNA, 607 nt
Organism: Rhododendron vialii
Lineage: Eukaryota; Viridiplantae; Streptophyta; Magnoliopsida; Ericales; Ericaceae
Exons: 2
Source: RefSeq, a predicted model, not a curated record
AGGCCGGCCCAAAGAAGUUUAAUGUUGGAGCUUGUUCCAGGGAAGAACGGGCUAAGAUAGGAAAAGGCACCGGCCCAAUCAGGAGUCCCAAGCCCAUCCAGGUCAGGUUUUAGAGCCUGGAAACCCUAGACCAUUAUAUCGCAAACAAACUCCCGCUAUCACAGUCGCAAUAGCAUCCGGUUUCAUCUGGAGAGUUCCUAGGAUCAAAGGAGAGAGAAUCGAAGCAGGUCCGAGUCGCGAUGAGGGCUAAGUGGAAGAAGAAGCGCAUGAGGAGGUUGAAGAGGAAGCGCCGAAAGAUGAGACAAAGGUCCGAGUAGACAUUUCAACAAGAUUGCUCUCCUGAUGUGACUCCAUCUUCAUCACCUACUGGCAGGUGGUGUGGGGGACUAGGAAGGGGAGCGUGCAUUGUCUAGUGCAAUUCCUAUGUCAGUGUCAUGUUUUGGUAAGAGUUCAGGAUUUAUUGUUUUUUGGUCAACUUUUGUCUUGUUUUGGUGUUUCUUCUGCAACUUAGUGACCUGUGGUACCUGUAGAAGAUAAAUUACCUUUAUUCGGAAUAUGUAUUGAUUUUUUUAAAAGGAUUUAUGCAACUGGUGAAGUUUUGCUCAAA